UACAGAGGUCUCAAGCGUUGUUCGGAUUCAUUGGGCGUAAAGGGUGCGUAGGCGGCGCGGUAAGUCGGGUGUGAAAUCUUGGAGCUUAACUUCGAAACUGCAUUCGAUACUGCCGUGCUUGAGGACUGGAGAGGAGACUGGAAUUUACGGUGUAGCGGUGAAAUGCGUAGAUAUCGUAAGGAAGACCAGUGGCGAAGGCGGGUCUCUGGACAGUUCCUGACGCUGAGGCACGAAGGUCAGGGGAGCAAACGGG
RNAcentral lists this ribosomal RNA (253 nucleotides) under uncultured bacterium. RNAcentral describes it as "partial 16S ribosomal RNA". It matches the Rfam family "Bacterial small subunit ribosomal RNA", at positions 524 to 776 of the family's 1533-position model. The record is from RNAcentral.